RNAcentral lists this microRNA (22 nucleotides) under Gallus gallus (chicken). RNAcentral describes it as "microRNA Ros-gga". Lineage: Eukaryota; Metazoa; Chordata; Aves; Galliformes; Phasianidae. The record is from RNAcentral.
UCAAAUCUCGGUAGAACCUCCA